GCUCCUUCAAAACCAGUCUAUUCUGUGGGUCCCCGUGGACUUUUUUAAUGAAUCCCCAAAAUGAAUGGCAAUGCAUGCGCCUCCUGGGAUCACCUGGCUCCUGAGGACCUUUGAUGCAACUACUUGGUUGCAGGUUGAGCUCAAGGAGAAGAUUACAGAUGUAACUCAGCAUGGACGCUCCCCUAAGAAGCCAUCCCUGACAGAACCCAAUGCCUUGAGGUCAUCCCUUCUUCCUUGUAUUACCUUGCACCCUGUAUACACUUUAAUCAUUGCUCUUAUCACGCUGAAGUGUCAUUAUUUACACACUUGUGCUUUUUUCUGCCAGAUUAUGAAUUCCAUGAAAAAAGAGAUUGUGCUUUCUGCAUCUCUAGCCAAGCAUCUGCCACAUGUAGAGACAAGAUUUCACCAUGUUGUCCAGGAUGGUCUCCAUCUCCUGACCUUGUGAUCUGCCCGCCUUGGCCUCCCAAAGUGCUGGGAUUACAGACUCCUGGAGGCACCAAGACAACACAGCUUAACAUUGGUGAGAAGAACAAUGGCAGACUUGAGGACCUCUGUGUCAUUGUCAGCUAUUGGCUUCACCCUGUUGAUUGAGCUUGACAAGCCUUCUCGCUCAAGCAACUGACCAGUGCCAGCAAACAGCUGGUACGUCCAGUUUUUGUUUUUAGGCCUUUUAAUUGGUCUAAUUCUUUGAAUAAAUGGAAUCAGUGGGUUGUUUAACUUACUAAUCAAGCAUCAAACAUUAUUAAAGGGACAGCUACAAGCCCUAAACUGUGCUUGGCUUUCUGGACAGAUAUAAAAAUAA
This 802-nucleotide long non-coding RNA is filed under the name Callithrix jacchus (white-tufted-ear marmoset). Its description in RNAcentral is "lncRNA (ENSCJAG00000075816.1)". Lineage: Eukaryota; Metazoa; Chordata; Mammalia; Primates; Cebidae. The record is from RNAcentral.